This 497-nucleotide ribosomal RNA is filed under the name uncultured bacterium. RNAcentral describes it as "partial 16S ribosomal RNA". It matches the Rfam family "Bacterial small subunit ribosomal RNA", at positions 28 to 507 of the family's 1533-position model. The record is from RNAcentral.
GACGAACGCUGGCGGCAUGCCUAAUACAUGCAAGUCGAACGCUGAAGCACUCUGCUUGCAGAGUGCGGAUGAGUGGCGAACGGGUGAGUAACACGUGGGAAAUCUGCCUAUAAGAGGGGGAUAACAUUCGGAAACGGAUGCUAAUACCGCAUAUAUUCUUGGACCGCCUGGUCCUUGAAAGAAAGACGGCUUUGCUGUCGCUUAUAGAUGAUCCCGCGGCGUAUUAGUUAGUUGGUGGGGUAAAGGCCUACCAAGACAAUGAUACGUAGCCGACCUGAGAGGGUGAUCGGCCACACUGGGACUGAGACACGGCCCAGACUCCUACGGGAGGCAGCAGUAGGGAAUCUUCCACAAUGGGCGAAAGCCUGAUGGAGCAAUGCCGCGUGAAUGAAGAAGGUCUUCGGAUCGUAAUGUUCUGUUAUUAGAGAAGAACAAGUCAAGGAGUAACUGUCUUGACUUUGACGGUAUCUAACCAGAAAGUCACGGCUAACUACGUG